Molecule: signal recognition particle RNA, 118 nt
Filed under: Histophilus somni 2336
Lineage: Bacteria; Pseudomonadati; Pseudomonadota; Gammaproteobacteria; Pasteurellales; Pasteurellaceae
Description: ffs
Rfam family: Bacterial small signal recognition particle RNA (bases 8-106)
About the family: The signal recognition particle (SRP) is a universally conserved ribonucleoprotein involved in the co-translational targeting of proteins to membranes. Archaeal SRP consists of a 7S RNA and homologues of the eukaryotic SRP19 and SRP54 proteins.
Source: RNAcentral
GGAAAUCUUUUCGGUUCCUCGCAAUAGUGUCCGAUUUACUCGGUCAGGUUCGGAAGAAAGCAGCCAAAGUCGGAAUUUCUGUGUGCCGAGAUCCUGCCGGAAAGGUUUCCGCCCAUCU